This 868-nucleotide unclassified non-coding RNA is filed under the name Hevea brasiliensis (rubber tree). The record is from RNAcentral. Lineage: Eukaryota; Viridiplantae; Streptophyta; Magnoliopsida; Malpighiales; Euphorbiaceae.
GAAAUGACAAUGCUGGAGGAAAUCUUCAAUUUAAGAUCUAAACCAACAAAAUGAUGAUCUCUACCACAAUUUAUUAGAAUGUUUCACAAUCACAAGGAAAGCAAAUAAACAAUCAUCCCUAUUUUCAUAAUUACAAAUUGUUUGCAGUGGACACAAAUUUUUAGAACCAUCAUUGAAGGAGACUCUCUUAUUGUAAUUCAAGCACUGAUGAAAGGGGCCCGUGUCCUCUGAAGAUUUCGGCCGUUAUUGAUGACAUCAAAGUUCUCUCGCAAAGGCCAGAAGAAGUUUCUUUUUCUUUUGUCUGUAGGCAAGUGAAUGAUAUAGCUCAUGUUCGUGCAUCAAAUGUGCUUCAUGAUCACUCGUUCCUCUGUAAUCAUUUUCAACAGGCUAUGAUUGUAUCAUCUCUGUUGCCUGGUUAGGCGUUUAAUGAAAUCUUAUCUUUUAAAAAAAAUAUAUAAUUACAAACUGCGAGCAUAGGUCAGAAGAUUGGUUUCAGGCACCAAAACCACAACAUGGACAAUAAAUCAUCUUCUGAUCCACCACAAUUCCCUAGAAGAAGCAGUUCUUCAUAAACAUACAGCACAGUCCCUCGACCUAUAAGGAAUCUAGGAAAUGAAUAUGAUUAUUUUGUUUAUGAUGACAAGCAGUGAAGGAUUAUUCAAAGCACUUGUCAUUUGGAAACCUUGAAAAAUGAACUUGCCCUACGAGGUUUUGUUUUUCUUUUGGCCUCAGAAGAAGCUGUUCAAGUUAAAAUAAAGGACGAAUUCAUAAUGGAAUCCAAGAAAUGAGUGAAAAGAGAGUUUUGUUUUUGGUGACCUUAAUAAUGAAAAGAUAGUUUUGUUUUUGGUGACCUUAAUAAUGAAAAGAU